GAUGAACGCUGGCGGCGUGCCUAAUACAUGCAAGUCGAGCGAACAGACGAGGAGCUUGCUCCUCUGACGUUAGCGGCGGACGGGUGAGUAACACGUGGAUAACCUACCUAUAAGACUGGGAUAACUUCGGGAAACCGGAGCUAAUACCGGAUAAUAUAUAGAACCGCAUGGUUCAAUAGUGAAAGACGGUUUUGCUGUCACUUAUAGAUGGAUCCGCGCCGCAUUAGCUAGUUGGUAGGGUAACGGCUUACCAAGGCGACGAUGCGUAGCCGACCUGAGAGGGUGAUCGGCCACACUGGAACUGAGACACGGUCCAGACUCCUACGGGAGGCAGCAGUAGGGAAUCUUCCGCAAUGGGCGAAAGCCUGACGGAGCAACGCCGCGUGAGUGAUGAAGGUCUUCGGAUCGUAAAACUCUGUUAUUAGGGAAGAACAAAUGUGUAAGUAACUAUGCACGUCUUGACGGUACCUAAUCAGAAAGCCACGGCUAACUACGUG
RNAcentral lists this ribosomal RNA (497 nucleotides) under uncultured bacterium. Its description in RNAcentral is "partial 16S ribosomal RNA". It matches the Rfam family "Bacterial small subunit ribosomal RNA", at positions 28 to 507 of the family's 1533-position model. The record is from RNAcentral.